Molecule: ribosomal RNA, 117 nt
Organism: Erinaceus europaeus (western European hedgehog)
Lineage: Eukaryota; Metazoa; Chordata; Mammalia; Eulipotyphla; Erinaceidae
Source: Ensembl
GUCUAUGACUAUACCACCCUGAACACAACCAAUCUCAUCUGAUCUUGGAAGGGAGGGGGAGAGACAUCUGAAGACCUGCCCCCCUGCUUAUGAAGCUCACCCCUGCAGGUGUGGACA